GUAUAGCUCAGUGGUAGAGUGCAUACUUAGCAUGCACAAGGUCCUGGGUUCAAUCCCCAGUAC
RNAcentral lists this transfer RNA (63 nucleotides) under Camelus bactrianus (Bactrian camel). It matches the Rfam family "tRNA", at positions 5 to 66 of the family's 71-position model. From Rfam's summary of the family: Transfer RNA (tRNA) molecules are approximately 80 nucleotides in length. RNAcentral also lists the same sequence under 2 other names. The record is from Rfam by way of RNAcentral. Lineage: Eukaryota; Metazoa; Chordata; Mammalia; Artiodactyla; Camelidae.